Long non-coding RNA from Perca fluviatilis (European perch), 798 nucleotides. RefSeq lists it as uncharacterized. NCBI's taxonomy places the organism in Eukaryota, Metazoa, Chordata, Actinopteri, Perciformes, Percidae. The transcript is spliced from 5 exons. The record is from RefSeq and is a predicted model, not a curated record.
CUGGCCAAUGAGCAGUGAGCGCGCCUUCAUUUGAAAGUACGUCAGUUUGAAUGCUGCGGGACUUCAGCGCUACUGUCGCUCCACUCCUAAUCAAUUACGUGGAUCAUUACCUGGAUUAUUUUACAUCUGCAUGCCAAAUUAUUAUUUGAGUUGUGGGAUUUCAACGAAGAACAAAACAACAAAACAAAAAUGGGAAUAUGGACACAGUGGAAGAGUCAGGAUCUUUGCUCUCCUAACAUGAACUUCAUGUUAUAACUGUUAUCCUGGCGAUAUUAGAGAGAUGCUCAUCAAGGCAAGGUGAUGAUUACCAGAGGGAAAACAAAGAACCUGUAGUUGAGCAUCACCUGUGUGAUCAUGAGAAGGCUGAAGAACCAGGAGUGACAAGAUAUCACCGGCUGCUGGGGUGCAGCAUUAAACCCAGGGACAGUAAACUGGCUAAUAGUCUUUGUUUGUCGGUGUGUUUUCCCCUCAUGAACCAGACAUUUUGGAAAUGAAAAGUCUCCUGCCACAAGAUCUUAGGAGCCAGAGCAGAGCCAGACGAUUACUUGCCAUUUGGAGGAAGUCUGAUCUUGCUGUGUUGCACCUCUGUUACAGAUUCAUUGUCCUUUUGUGGUAUGUUGUAAUUUUACUUAAUACUACACUGUAUAGUUAGGAUUCUUAAAUGUUAUCAGAACUACCUUAUACAGAGCCCCCAAGGGUUAGGAGAAUGAAGAAGAAGACCACAACUCCCUCAGCUCAACAGCACAAUUUGUUGCUUCCUCCAUCCAUUUCAAAGGGGAAAUCUUUUGAUUUUGAUAG